RNAcentral lists this long non-coding RNA (1498 nucleotides) under Homo sapiens (human). Its description in RNAcentral is "ZBED3 antisense RNA 1". The record is from RNAcentral. Lineage: Eukaryota; Metazoa; Chordata; Mammalia; Primates; Hominidae.
AAUGAAACAGGAGAGUUCCCUGAUUUCCUCCCGGCCCCCGCCCUCCCACAGCCCUUUGCAGGACGUGCAACAGGGUUGUGGCUCGUGUGUUCGGUCUCUGCCUGCUGAAACCCCUUAUGGGAGGUGGAGCAUGCAGACGGACGGGUGCAGGAGCCAGGGUGCAAAAGCUGGGGCGCUGGGCUUCCAGCCCCACGGCAGUGUCCAGGGGCAGGAUCCCGUGAUUCCCGGAGCCCAAAUGGGCGUGUGUUACAGUGUGCUCUUUUAGCCUUACCAUCAGCUGACGGCUUAAGUGUUAACCAGCUCAAUAGACCCUCUGCCUUUUUGCAAGCGCAGAGGGUCAGUGUGACAGUUUCUGUAUCUCAGCUCUUGUCUCACCUCCCAGAAGAAUCAGGUCACACAUGGACUUGAAGGAUGGAAAACACAGAUCCUGGUGCCGAACAUGAGGACAGGGCAGGCCGAAGGAGAAAGUGGAAGGAGGGGAGCUUCUCUCUCAGCCUCAUCCUUCUGGGCCUGGAUGCUGGAGAGUCAUGAGGUGCUUCAGAGUACUCUGGGUGAGGAGGGAAAGAUGGUGCCCACCACAUGGAGGCCAGCCUAGGUCUUGUAUGAAACCUGUGAGGAGAUUCUCUCUCCCUUGCUGUCUUUGAAAAAGCAAGUUGCCAUGUGAAGAGGGCCAUAUAGCAUAGGAGCUGAAGGCAGCCUCCAACUGACGGCAAGAAAAUGAGGUCCUCAGUCUGACAACCUGCAAGAAACUGAAUGUUCUAAAAGCCACAUGAGCUUGGGAGCAGAUCUGACCCCAGCCAAAUCUCUGAAGUCCGCAGGCAGGAAAUGAAGAUCAGAAAAAGGCUAUUGUCUCAUGAAUAUGAGCCAGACUCCACAGAAGCUGGAGUCCUUCAUUAUGGAGCUAAACACAUACACCUGGCUUAGGAGUCAGAAAAACUGAAAGAGAAUUCAGGGAAGUAGAGAAAUUGCAAGCCCAGAUGCUGCUUCAUACCAAAGAAGCAAGUCAGCAGGUCAGCAACAAUGUGUAUCAGUUCCAAAAUGACUUACACAGGUACCAAGACAAGACAUUAUAUACACUUAUAUAGUCAAAUACUUUAAAACUGUUAACAAACUUGCUACAAUUGUCUCAUUUGUCUUUUAACCUUAAUAUCACAGAUCAAGUUUGUAAUCUCAAAAGUUCACCCUGGCUGCUGUGUGGAGUAUUCUCUUAUCUGCUCAUAUUACACUGUGCUUAUUCAUUCAUCAGUUAAUGGAAAUUUGGGUUGUUUCCUGAUUUUGACUGUAAUGAAUAAUGUUGCUGUAAACAUUCAUGUACAGUUUUGUGUGGACAUGCUUUUCUUUCUCUUGGGUAGGUUCCUAUGAGUGGAAUCACUAGAUUGUAUGGUAAAUGUAUGUUUAACUUUUAAAGAAACUGUCAAACUGUUUUCUAACAUGAACGGGCCAUUUUACGUUCUUAUCAACAAUAUAUGAUGGUUUCAAUUUUCCCACAUCCUCACCA